GAUGAACGCUGGCGGCGUGCCUAAUACAUGCAAGUCGAGCGAACAGACGAGGAGCUUGCUCCUCUGACGUUAGCGGCGGACGGGUGAGUAACACGUGGAUAACCUACCUAUAAGACUGGGAUAACUUCGGGAAACCGGAGCUAAUACCGGAUAAUAUAUUGAACCGCAUGGUUCAAUAGUGAAAGACGGUUUUGCUGUCACUUAUAGAUGGAUCCGCGCCGCAUUAGCUAGUUGGUAAGGUAACGGCUUACCAAGGCGACGAUGCGUAGCCGACCUGAGAGGGUGAUCGGCCACACGGGAACGGAGACACGGUCCAGGCUCCUGCGGGAGGCAGCAGUCGGGAAUCGUCCGCAAUGGGCGAAAGCCUGACGGAGCAACGCCACGUGAGUGAUGAAGGUCUUCGGAUCGUAAUACUCUGUUACUAGGGAAGAACAAAUGUGUAAGUAACUAUGCCCGUCUUGACGGUACCUAAUCAGAAAGCCACGGCUAACUACGUG
This 497-nucleotide ribosomal RNA is filed under the name uncultured bacterium. Its description in RNAcentral is "partial 16S ribosomal RNA". It matches the Rfam family "Bacterial small subunit ribosomal RNA", at positions 28 to 507 of the family's 1533-position model. The record is from RNAcentral.